RNAcentral lists this ribosomal RNA (266 nucleotides) under uncultured bacterium. RNAcentral describes it as "partial 16S ribosomal RNA". It matches the Rfam family "Bacterial small subunit ribosomal RNA", at positions 88 to 354 of the family's 1533-position model. The record is from RNAcentral.
UGAGUUAGUGGCGGACGGGUGAGUAACGCGUGGAAAACCUGCCGUAUACUGGGGGGUAACACUUAGAAAUAGGUGCUAAUACCGCAUAAGCGCACAGCUUCGCAUGAAGCGGUGUGAAAAACUCUGGUGGUAUACGAUGGUUCCGCGUCUGAUUAGCUAGUUGGUGGGGUAAUGGCCUACCAAGGCAACGAUCAGUAGCCGGCCUGGGAGGGUGAACGGCCACAUUGGGACUGAGACACGGCCCAAACUCCUACGGGAGGCAGCAG